Molecule: ribosomal RNA, 511 nt
Filed under: Semitobrilus pellucidus
Lineage: Eukaryota; Metazoa; Nematoda; Enoplea; Triplonchida; Tobrilidae
Also listed under: 1 other name
Description: partial 28S ribosomal RNA
Rfam family: Eukaryotic large subunit ribosomal RNA
Source: RNAcentral
UGAAACACGGACCAAGGAGUCUAACAUGUUCGCAAGUCAUUGGGUUGUAAAACCCAAAGGCAUAAUGAAAGUGAAGAUCAGUUCUGCUGGUCGAGGUGGGAUCUCUCUUCAAGGGAGCGCACCACCGUCCCAUCGCAUUUGCUCGUCAAAGCGGUGGAGAAAGAGCGUACAUGUUGGGACCCGAAAGAUGGUGAACUAUGCCUGAGCAGGAUGAAGCCAGAGGAAACUCUGGUGGAGGUCCGUAGCGGUUCUGACGUGCAAAUCGAUCGUCAGACUUGGGUAUAGGGGCGAAAGACUAAUCGAACCAUCUAGUAGCUGGUUCCCUCCGAAGUUUCCCUCAGGAUAGCUGGCACUUUUACGCAGUUUUACCCGGUAAAGCGAAUGAUUAGAGGCCUUGGGGACGAAACGACCUCAACCUAUUCUCAAACUUUAAAUGGGUAAGAAGUCUCGCUUGCCUGACCGAAGCUCAGACAUUGAAUGCGAGUGCCAAGUGGGCCAUUUUUGGUAAGCA